CAAUAGCGUAUAUUAAAGUUGUUGCAGUUAAAAAGCUCGUAGUUGGAUUUCGGGACGGGCCAGUUGGUCCGCCGCAAGGUGUGUUACUGACUGGUCUGUUCUUCUUCGCAAAGACUGCGUGUGCUCUUCGUUGAGUGUGCGUAGGAUUUACGACGUUUACUUUGAAAAAAUUAGAGUGUUCAAAGCAGGCUAUCGCUUGAAUACAUGAGCAUGGAAUAAUGGAAUAGGACUUUGGUCCUAUUUUGUUGGUUUCUAGGACCGAAGUAAUGAUUAAGAGGGACAAUUGGGGGCAUCCGUAUUUCGUUGUCAGAGGUGAAAUUCUUGGAUUUACGAAAGACGAGCAACUGCGAAAGCACUUGCCAAGAGUGUUUUCAUUAA
RNAcentral lists this ribosomal RNA (378 nucleotides) under uncultured eukaryote. RNAcentral describes it as "partial 18S ribosomal RNA". It matches the Rfam family "Eukaryotic small subunit ribosomal RNA", at positions 592 to 976 of the family's 1831-position model. The record is from RNAcentral.